CCUACGGGCGGCAGCAGUGGGGAAUAUUGCACAAUGGGGGAAACCCUGAUGCAGCGACGCCGCGUGAGUGAAGAAGUAAUUCGUUAUGUAAAGCUCUAUCAGCAGGGAAGAAAAGGACGGUACCUGAGGAAGAAGCCCCGGCUAACUACGUGCCAGCAGCCGCGGUACUGCGUAGGGAGCAAGCGUUAUCCGGAUUUACUGGGUUUAAAGGGAGCGUAGACGGCAGUGUAAGUCUGGAGUGAAAGGCGGGGGCUCAACCCUCGGAGUGCUCUGGAAACUGUACGGCUGGAGUGCGGGAGAGGUAAGUGGAAUUCCUGGUGUAGCGGUGAAAUGCGUAGAUAUUAGGAGGAACACCAGUGGCGAAGGCGGCUUACUGGACUGUAACUGACGUUGAGGCUCGAAAGCGUGGGGAGCAAACAGGAUUAGAUACCCGAGUAGUC
RNAcentral lists this ribosomal RNA (440 nucleotides) under uncultured bacterium. RNAcentral describes it as "partial 16S ribosomal RNA". It matches the Rfam family "Bacterial small subunit ribosomal RNA", at positions 338 to 795 of the family's 1533-position model. The record is from RNAcentral.